GCCGCGGUAUUUUGACCGUGCGAAGGUAGCAUAAUCAUUAGUCUUUUAAUUGAAGGCUUGUAUGAAGGGUUGGACGAGAAAUAAGCUGUCUUUAUUGGAAAAAUAGAAUUUAACUUUUAAGUGAGAGGGCUUAAAUGUUCUAAAGGGACGAUAAGACCCUAUAAAGUUUGACAUUUUAUUCAUUAAAAAAUAAAAUAAUUAAUUAAUUUUUAUUAUUGGGGUAAUGUUUUGUUGGGGCGAUUAGAAUAUAAAAGAUUUAACUGUUUUAUAUUAAUACAAAGUUGUUUGAGUGUUUUGAUCCUUAAUAAAGGUAUUAGAGUAAAUUACUUUAGGGAUAACAGCGUAAUUUUUUUUGAGAGUUCUUAUCGACAAAAAAGUUUGCGACCUCGAUGUUGAAUUAAAGAAUUCUUUAUAGCGCAGAAGUUAUAAAAGAAGGUCUGUUCGACCUUUAAAUCUUUACAU
RNAcentral lists this ribosomal RNA (462 nucleotides) under Engaeus sericatus. RNAcentral's name for it is "partial large subunit ribosomal RNA". It matches the Rfam family "Bacterial large subunit ribosomal RNA", at positions 1930 to 2601 of the family's 2925-position model. The record is from RNAcentral. Lineage: Eukaryota; Metazoa; Arthropoda; Malacostraca; Decapoda; Parastacidae.